This 120-nucleotide ribosomal RNA is filed under the name Colletotrichum orchidophilum. Lineage: Eukaryota; Fungi; Ascomycota; Sordariomycetes; Glomerellales; Glomerellaceae. The record is from RNAcentral.
ACAUACGACCACACCCACUGGAAAACUCGGGAUCCCGUCCGCUCUCCCAUAGAUAAGCCAGUGAGGGCCGGAUUAGUAGUUGGGUCGGUGACGACCAGCGAAUACCUGGUGUUGUAUGUC